This 895-nucleotide small RNA is filed under the name Pan troglodytes (chimpanzee). RNAcentral describes it as "retained intron". The record is from RNAcentral. Lineage: Eukaryota; Metazoa; Chordata; Mammalia; Primates; Hominidae.
CCUGAACUCAGCAGUGACAUAGACAGCAGCAAUUUCGAUGACAUUGAAGAUGACAAAGGAGAUGUAGAAACCUUCCCAAUUCCUAAAGCUUUUGUUGGAAAUCAGCUGCCUUUCAUCGGAUUUACCUACUAUAGAGAAAAUUUAUUAUUAAGUGACUCUCCAUCUUGUAGAGAAAAUGAUUCAAUACAAUCAAGGAAAAAUGAAGAAAGUCAAGAGGUAUGUUGAUGUUGUCAGAUAUAUUGAAAAACUGAGAAAAGCUCAUCACUCUCGCAAAGUUUAAAUAUAGUCAUAUCCUACCUAGCAUUUGGAGUACUACAUCUACCCAAGAGAGAAGUUCCCAACCUUUCUUCUACCAAGUAUCUCUUUUAUUAUUGUUCUGUGGAUCUGUUUAAAAUAUAUAUUAUGUAAUUUUGUUUUUAUUUAUCAAGGACAUAUAACUGGCAGCAAUAAUUUCUGAUUAGCAUAUAAUAACUGGUAUGCUCAAAUUAUUGUAAUGCAGUAGUAGCCAAAAGCAAUUAAACUUGACUAGUUCAUUAGCCUGUAUAUUUUUAUUAAGGGAAAACAGAGUUUUGCUUAAGAUAGAUGCAGUAUUUAAAACCAUGGAGAACCUGAUCACUAGAAGGAAUAAUGGAAAGUACAUUGCCAUGGGAGUCUAAUAGACCUGCAUUGAUUUUUGCCACUGCGACUUAUUAGCUAUGCUAUCUUGGCCUGAUUAUUUACCUUUUUUGAAUUUCAUUUUCUUUAUCAAGUAGAUACAAUGCUACCAUCUUUGUAGGAUUUUUGUUAAUAUUAACAAGACAACAUUUGUAAAGUGCCUGAUAUUUUACCAAAGGCACCACAGGAGCUCAAAAAGUUAAAUCCUUUAAAAAGUAAAUAAUGUUCCAAAAAUGGAUUA